CAUUUUCCAUCGUGUUGCUCACUGGGCCUUGGAUAACCAAGGGUUCCUCUGUAUCAGUGAAGAAGAAACCAGCAAUGGAGUGUCUCAGGGAAACCCGAACUAAUUACCCCACUCAACUUUGGAGCAGGUGUAUAAGCAUAUUCUGCCACCUGGAGUUCACAAGUUACUGUUCGG
Molecule: long non-coding RNA, 174 nt
Organism: Sinocyclocheilus anshuiensis
Lineage: Eukaryota; Metazoa; Chordata; Actinopteri; Cypriniformes; Cyprinidae
Exons: 3
Source: RefSeq, a predicted model, not a curated record